GUCGAACGAACUCUGGUAUUGAUUGGUGCUUGCAUCAUGAUUUACAUUUGAGUGAGUGGCGAACUGGUGAGUAACACGUGGGAAACCUGCCCAGAAGCGGGGGAUAACACCUGGAAACAGAUGCUAAUACCGCAUAACAACUUGGACCGCAUGGUCCGAGUUUGAAAGAUGGCUUCGGCUAUCACUUUUGGAUGGUCCCGCGGCGUAUUAGCUAGAUGGUGGGGUAACGGCUCACCAUGGCAAUGAUACGUAGCCGACCUGAGAGGGUAAUCGGCCACAUUGGGACUGAGACACGGCCCAAACUCCUACGGGAGGCAGCAGUAGGGAAUCUUCCACAAUGGACGAAAGUCUGAUGGAGCAACGCCGCGUGAGUGAAGAAGGGUUUCGGCUCGUAAAACUCUGUUGUUAAAGAAGAACAUAUCUGAGAGUAACUGUUCAGGUAUUGACGGUAUUUAACCAGAAAGCCACGGCUAACUACGUGCCAGCAGCCGCGGUAAUACGUAGGUGGCAAGCGUUGUCCGGAUUUAUUGGGCGUAAAGCGAGCGCAGGCGGUUUUUUAAGUCUGAUGUGAAAGCCUUCGGCUCAACCGAAGAAGUGCAUCGGAAACUGGGAAACUUGAGUGCAGAAGAGGACAGUGGAACUCCAUGUGUAGCGGUGAAAUGCGUAGAUAUAUGGAAGAACACCAGUGGCGAAGGCGGCUGUCUGGUCUGUAACUGACGCUGAGGCUCGAAAGUAUGGGUAGCAAACAGGAUUAGAUACCCUGGUAGUCCAUACCGUAAACGAUGAAUGCUAAGUGUUGGAGGGUUUCCGCCCUUCAGUGCUGCAGCUAACGCAUUAAGCAUUCCGCCUGGGGAGUACGGCCGCAAGGCUGAAACUCAAAGGAAUUGACGGGGGCCCGCACAAGCGGUGGAGCAUGUGGUUUAAUUCGAAGCUACGCGAAGAACCUUACCAGGUCUUGACAUACUAUGCAAAUCUAAGAGAUUAGACGUUCCCUUCGGGGACAUGGAUACAGGUGGUGCAUGGUUGUCGUCAGCUCGUGUCGUGAGAUGUUGGGUUAAGUCCCGCAACGAGCGCAACCCUUAUUAUCAGUUGCCAGCAUUAAGUUGGGCACUCUGGUGAGACUGCCGGUGACAAACCGGAGGAAGGUGGGGAUGACGUCAAAUCAUCAUGCCCCUUAUGACCUGGGCUACACACGUGCUACAAUGGAUGGUACAACGAGUUGCGAACUCGCGAGAGUAAGCUAAUCUCUUAAAGCCAUUCUCAGUUCGGAUUGUAGGCUGCAACUCGCCUACAUGAAGUCGGAAUCGCUAGUAAUCGCGGAUCAGCAUGCCGCGGUGAAUACGUUCCCGGGCCUUGUACACACCGCCCGUCACACCAUGAGAGUUUGUAACACCCAAAGUCGGUGGGGUAACCUUUUAGGAACCAGCCGC
RNAcentral lists this ribosomal RNA (1430 nucleotides) under Lactiplantibacillus pentosus. RNAcentral's name for it is "bacterial SSU rRNA". It matches the Rfam family "Bacterial small subunit ribosomal RNA". The record is from RNAcentral. Lineage: Bacteria; Bacillati; Bacillota; Bacilli; Lactobacillales; Lactobacillaceae. RNAcentral also lists the same sequence under 1 other name.